Molecule: ribosomal RNA, 501 nt
Filed under: uncultured bacterium
Lineage: Bacteria
Description: partial 16S ribosomal RNA
Rfam family: Bacterial small subunit ribosomal RNA
Source: RNAcentral
AUUGAACGCUGGCGGCAUGCCUUACACAUGCAAGUCGAACGGCAGCACGGGUGCUUGCACCUGGUGGCGAGUGGCGAACGGGUGAGUAAUACAUCGGAACGUACCUUAUCGUGGGGGAUAACGCCGCGAAAGCUGUGCGAAUACCGCAUACGCCCUGAGGGGGAAAGCGGGGGAUCGCAAGACCUCGCGCGAUUAGAGCGGCCGAUGCCUGAUUAGCUUGUUGGUGGGGUAAAAGCCCACCAAGGCGACGAUCAGUAGCUGGUGUGAGAGGACGAUCAGCCACACUGGGACUGAGACACGGCCCAGACUCCUACGGGAGGCAGCAGUGGGGAAUUUUGGACAAUGGGGGCAACCCUGAUCCAGCAAUGCCGCGUGAGUGAAGAAGGCCUUCGGGUUGUAAAGCUCUUUUGUCAGGGAAGAAACACCGGCUCUAACACAGUCCGGGAAUGACGGUACCUGAAGAAUAAGCACCGGCUAACUACGUGCCAGCCGCCGCCGUAA